GUCUGACUGCAUGCUGCCAUGCUUCCCACCAUGAUAAUGGACUACACCUUUGAACUAUCACAGUACAGUUGUGUGACAGAGGGACACUGUCAGUGCUGGCCAGGAAGACCUCACCUACAGCUUCCAACUGACCUUCGAAAGGAAGGAGGAGAAAGGAGAAGGGUGAGGCCAGCCAGCCUCGGUGGGUCUGCACUGACCUUACGCCUUGGUCCUCUCCAGGUCCCCAGGACACAGGGAAGGAGAACUGGAUUCCCACGAGGCAGGAAGUGACAAUGUUCAACACUCCAACCCCAGCAAGGAAGCAAGCACUACAGGAGAACUCCAGCUCAGCAACCUGCUCAGUUAUAAAAUGGCGUUUCCCAGCCUUCCUUGAGACCAACGUGACUGACUGUUCCAUAGAUACUGGCUAUGCGACAGAAGACGUGGAAAAUGGACUAAGAUAUCUGUCUUCUGUUUUCCCGGAAGACAGAAAUAAGACAGCUGGAGAUCCAGCAGCCACACCUGACCAUAAGGCAACCCGACACUUCCGGUCCCAAAGCAUCUAGGCGAGGGGUACUCCGUGUGCGGUGCAGUGCCGCGGCUUACCUUCUGCGGCCAUCUCCUGCAGAAAAGCCCGGAAGCUCCUCCGGCCUACCUCCCACUGCCGAACUCGGCAGCUGAGACUCCACCCAGCCAGGGUGACUUUAGGGUCUCGGGCCAUGUGCUCCAUACAUUGUUCCUUAAGAGGCAAUGCUCUCAAACAAAGAUCGAGCUGAGCUCACUCCUAGGAGAGACCAUGACAGCAAUAACUGGGAGCUCUUACCCAAGAAAGAAAAGAAGGUUGAGCCUCAGCCCGGCUGUCUCCUUCUCCAGUGAGUCUCAGCCUCACCCACAUUCUGCAGAAGCUGGAACACGUUCCCUUCUUCAAUGCAAAAACGGAGGGGAACUCUGGCCAAGCACUGGAGGAGUGAGCCACGGCACAAGCACACAGCAGCCAGCAGGCGCGACUGACCCCCAGGUGGGCACACGAGGGGCAUGUGCCUGCGGGCGCCGUCUGCUAGCGGAGGAGGGGCAGCAAAGAAUCGGAGGGGUCAAGGCAGGGGCGUGGCUCUGUGACAGAGCGCAUGCCUGGAGAGUGUGAGGCCCCGAGUUCACCCCACCACCUUAUCAUCACCCUGGCUGGAUAGGUUAAGGAAAUAAACGCUGGCAACUGUGUGAACAGGAUCCUGCCGGACCAGGAAACUAAAGAUAAAUAAAGGGAGAGAAAACCUGAAGAGGGAUGAAAAGAAGAGACUAUUCGGAUGUAGGAGGCCCUCGGGGAGCAAGGCCCGGGGUUGGCCAAGGAAGCUGCGUCCUCCCAUCUUUCCUCCGCUCUCUCCUGGAGAAGCAGAAGGAAAACAAGAGCAGUGAGCAGAU
Non-coding RNA from Peromyscus maniculatus bairdii (prairie deer mouse), 1395 nucleotides. The record is from RefSeq and is a predicted model, not a curated record. NCBI's taxonomy places the organism in Eukaryota, Metazoa, Chordata, Mammalia, Rodentia, Cricetidae.